GACGAACGCUGGCGGCGUGCCUAAUACAUGCAAGUCGAACGAACUCUGGUAUUGAUUGGUGCUUGCAUCAUGAUUUACAUUUGAGUGAGUGGCGAACUGGUGAGUAACACGUGGGAAACCUGCCCAGAAGCGGGGGAUAACACCUGGAAACAGAUGCUAAUACCGCAUAACAACUUGGACCGCAUGGUCCGAGCUUGAAAGAUGGCUUCGGCUAUCACUUUUGGAUGGUCCCGCGGCGUAUUAGCUAGAUGGUGGGGUAACGGCUCACCAUGGCAAUGAUACGUAGCCGACCUGAGAGGGUAAUCGGCCACAUUGGGACUGAGACACGGCCCAAACUCCUACGGGAGGCAGCAGUAGGGAAUCUUCCACAAUGGACGAAAGUCUGAUGGAGCAACGCCGCGCGAGUGAAGAAGGGUUUCGGCUCGUAAAACUCUGUUGUUAAAGAAGAACAUAUCUGAGAGUAACUGUUCAGGUAUUGACGGUAUUUAACCAGAAAGCCACGGCUAACUACGUGCCAGCAGCCGCGGUAAUACGUAGGUGGCAAGCGUUGUCCGGAUUUAUUGGGCGUAAAGCGUGCGCAGGCGGUUUUUUAAGUCUGAUGUGAAAGCCUUCGGCUCAACCGAAGAAGUGCAUCGGAAACUGGGAAACUUGAGUGCAGAAGAGGACAGUGGAACUCCAUGUGUAGCGGUGAAAUGCGUAGAUAUAUGGAAGAACACCAGUGGCGAAGGCGGCUGUCUGGUCUGUAACUGACGCUGAGGCUCGAAAGUAUGGGUAGCAAACAGGAUUAGAUACCCUGGUAGUCCAUACCGUAAACGAUGAAUGCUAAGUGUUGGAGGGUUUCCGCCCUUCAGUGCUGCAGCUAACGCAUUAAGCAUUCCGCCUGGGGAGUACGGCCGCAAGGCUGAAACUCAAAGGAAUUGACGGGGGCCCGCACAAGCGGUGGAGCAUGUGGUUUAAUUCGAAGCUACGCGAAGAACCUUACCAGGUCUUGACAUACUAUGCAAAUCUAAGAGAUUAGACGUUCCCUUCGGGGACAUGGAUACAGGUGGUGCAUGGUUGUCGUCAGCUCGUGUCGUGAGAUGUUGGGUUAAGUCCCGCAACGAGCGCAACCCUUAUUAUCAGUUGCCAGCAUUAAGUUGGGCACUCUGGUGAGACUGCCGGUGACAAACCGGAGGAAGGUGGGGAUGACGUCAAAUCAUCAUGCCCCUUAUGACCUGGGCUACACACGUGCUACAAUGGAUGGUACAACGAGUUGCGAACUCGCGAGAGUAAGCUAAUCUCUUAAAGCCAUUCUCAGUUCGGAUUGUAGGCUGCAACUCGCCUACGUGAAGUCGGAAUCGCUAGUAAUCGCGGAUCAGCAUGCCGCGGUGAAUACGUUCCCGGGCCUUGUACACACCGCCCGUCACACCAUGAGAGUUUGUAACACCCAAAGUCGGUGGGGUAACCUUUUAGGAACCAGCCGCCUAAGGUGGGACAGAUGAUUAGGGUG
This 1489-nucleotide ribosomal RNA is filed under the name Lactiplantibacillus argentoratensis. RNAcentral describes it as "partial 16S ribosomal RNA". It matches the Rfam family "Bacterial small subunit ribosomal RNA". Lineage: Bacteria; Bacillati; Bacillota; Bacilli; Lactobacillales; Lactobacillaceae. The record is from RNAcentral.